Non-coding RNA from Coffea arabica (coffee), 2210 nucleotides. Lineage: Eukaryota; Viridiplantae; Streptophyta; Magnoliopsida; Gentianales; Rubiaceae. The record is from RefSeq and is a predicted model, not a curated record.
UCUUCGCCAACCGGCAAGCUCUUCCUUCAUCAGGUCUCAGAAACAGCAGUGGAAGCUAGGGAGGACAAAACAAGAAACCAAAGGAUAAAAAAAACGCAAAAUCAUUGUACUGGCGCCAAAUUCCGUUAGAUGGAGAACGCUGAAGUCCUAAAUAACGUCGACUACGCUUAUGUCGAGGGCUGCUCCUCCUCGUCAUCGUCGUCUUCCUCGGUUGAUGAAAAUGAGAUUUAUUCAGUGUAUUUCAAGGGUUUGGUGAGGGAAGAGAAGGCUAAUGACUCGGAAAUGGGUGGGGUGGGAAUUGGAAUUGGAGUUGUAAUCUGUGAUUCGAUGAAACAUAUGAUCUUCGAGUCGAGCAAGGCCAUGAAGAGCAGAGGAGACACGUGUCGGUUAGAAGCGAGACUUGAGGCUUUGAUUGAAGGAUUAACUAGUGCUAAACAACUUGGGAUUAGGAGGCUGAGGUUUUUCUGCAAGAGUCGCAAGCUUUACAAUUAUUUGAUAGAUGAUGAGAACGCUGAAGAGGGGUUGAAUAUGGAGACUGCAGAGGAGUUACGGAUGAUACCAACAAUCGGAAGGGUGAAAUCCCUACGAGCACAAUUUGAAGAAUGCAGCCCCUCUCUUGUCAGGAAAGAUGAUGCUGAGUUUGGUAGGCGAGCGGAUAACCUUGCAAGGAAAGCUAAAUUUGCCCAAGUCAGUUGUCCAGAAGUCAUUUCGAAAGAAACUUGUGAAAUUUGUAUGGAGGAUACUGAUGUGGUCAACAUGCUUUCAGUUCAUAAUUGCACUCAUAGAUGCUGUUCCUCUUGUGCGAAAAAGCAUGUCGAGGUGAAGUUGCGUGAGGGAACUUUGCCUAAAUGCCCUCAAGAUGGUUGUCAUUCCGACAUUAAGAUUGAUAAGUGCAUAAAUGUAUUAAGCCCUGAAUUAGUUGAGGUCUUGAAUCAACGGGUGAAGGAAGCUAAGAUUCCAGUUCUGGAUAGAAUUUAUUGUCCCCACCCACGGUGCUCAAAUCUGAUGUCAAAAACAGAGGUUCUGAAUUAUUCUAAAAGCAGAAACAAUAAUACUGAAAACGGAUAUGGGAUAUGCUUCAAGUGUCAUGGCCCUUUUUGCAUCAAUUGCAAGGUGCCUUGGCAUAAUGAGAUGACCUGUUCUGACUACAAAGAGCUGCACCCUUACUCGUGUAUAGAGGAUGAAAUGCUAAGUUCACUUGCCAAGAGGAACUCAUGGCAACAGUGCAUCAAGUGCAGCCAUAUGAUUGAACUUGAUGUAGGUUGCUACCACAUAAUUUGCAGGUACUUUUGUCUGUUUGUAUACUUCUUAGUAAUUGCCUCUAACGUUGCUCUCGAGGUAAUAGUUUGUGUGUCGGAAAUAACUCAAAUUGAUAUGAUAAGAGAUUUUGUUUCUAAGCUAUAACUGGCCGCCGACCUGCUUCUAUGUUGUUGUCAUUGCAUUACAUAGACAUCCCCCACGGCCAAGUAGAGUAUAACAGACUGCAGGCCAGAUCAGAUAUAAUAACAAUUCAUACUAACUACAGGUGCCAUAUGACUUAGUCAAUCUCAGUCGAAGUCUAUUCCAGCAGAUUGUUGCUUAUGGCAAAAUGAUUGACUGAACGUACUUCAAUAAGAUGGAGAAUCACAGAGGCAGUUUUAGAUUGGAGAGACCGUGUCAUUGGCUGUUAGUAUUUAGUUUCUCAUCUAAUGAUAGUGCUCAGUCAUCUUUCCACAUCUAUCUUUUUAUCUCUCGUGGUCUACACAUAAAACCUUACACCCUGCCAAUUUAUAGCCUUAUUUAUACUGAGAUAUUCUGCUCCCCUUUUCACCAAUUUCUGCUUCCCAACUCAAAGGCCACAGUUGAGUAAUUGUCCUUGAUUUCCUUGCUUCUGUGAAACCAAGAACGAGAUGCGGACAUCAGUUUUGUUAUACAUGUGGAUCGGAGUGGAAGGAAAACAAAGCCACUUGUAAUUGUCCACUCUGGGAUGAGGACCGGAUUAUAUAUUAACUUAGGCGCGAUAGACCUGCGUUUAGAAGAAUGUUUAUGGCCGAUGUACAACUUAUUACUGGACUUCCGAUAUUUGCUAGCUUGUACAUUUCAAGGGAUCAUUAUCUAUGGCACAGAUCAAUAUAUAGUAGAGUAAAGAGUUCGAUCUUCAGCAGCUCCCAUGGUAAUGGCUUGAGUUUGGAUUCGAGUUUUAUAAAAUUAGGCCGUGUUUAAACCAAUAA